UCUAAUGUGGCAGAAUAGUGCAAUGAAUUUAAGAUUCAUAUAUAAAGAAUUAUCUUUCAUUAGAA
RNAcentral lists this transfer RNA (65 nucleotides) under Corizus sp. 'albomarginatus'. RNAcentral's name for it is "tRNA-Leu". Lineage: Eukaryota; Metazoa; Arthropoda; Insecta; Hemiptera; Rhopalidae. The record is from RNAcentral.